RNAcentral lists this transfer RNA (74 nucleotides) under Terrabacter aerolatus. Its description in RNAcentral is "tRNA-Gly". The record is from RNAcentral. Lineage: Bacteria; Bacillati; Actinomycetota; Actinomycetes; Micrococcales; Intrasporangiaceae.
GCAGGCGUAGUUCAGUAGCAGAACAGCCUUCUUCCAGAAGGACGACGUACGUGCAAUUCGUGCCGCCUGCUCCA